GCCAGGUGCCGUGGUGCACACCUGUAAUCCCAGCAGCUUGGGAGGCUGAAACAGGAGGAUUACAACUUCAAAGCCAGCCUCAGCAAGGGCAAGGCACUAAGUAACUCAGUGAGACCCUGUUUCUA
Molecule: small RNA, 125 nt
Filed under: Marmota monax (woodchuck)
Lineage: Eukaryota; Metazoa; Chordata; Mammalia; Rodentia; Sciuridae
Source: RNAcentral